This 448-nucleotide ribosomal RNA is filed under the name uncultured Rhodospirillales bacterium. Its description in RNAcentral is "bacterial SSU rRNA". It matches the Rfam family "Bacterial small subunit ribosomal RNA", at positions 28 to 505 of the family's 1533-position model. The record is from RNAcentral. Lineage: Bacteria; Pseudomonadati; Pseudomonadota; Alphaproteobacteria; Rhodospirillales.
GACGAACGCUGGCGGCGCGCUUAACACAUGCAAGUCGAACGAGAUGCUUGUUUUCGGAUGAGUUAUCUAGUGGCGCACGGGUGAGUAACGCGUGGGAACCUGCCUUUAGCUACGGAACAACCACGGGAAACUGUGGCUAAUACCGUAUAAUGCCCUUUCGGGGGCCAAAGAUUUAUCGGCUAUUGAGGGGCCCGCGUUGGAUUAGCUUGUUGGUGGGGUAACGGCCUACCAAGGCUCUGAUCCAUAGCUGGUCUGAGAGGACGAUCAGCCACACUGGGACUGAGACACGGCCCAGACUCCUACGGGAGGCAGCAGUGGGGAAUCUUGGACAAUGGGGGCAACCCUGAUCCAGCGACGCCGCGUGGGUGAUGAAGGCCUUAGGGUUGUAAACCCCUUUCACCGGGGAGGAUGAUGACGUUACCCGGAGAAGAAGCACCGGCUAACUCCG